UGUCUGACUUGCUUUGCAAUAACAUUUUUGGUUUUAAACUCAGUGUGUCAUUGCUUAUGAACUUAGAGGGGGGAGAAGAAUGGUGUCACACAAUCAAAACCUAAAACUUCCAGUUUGUGGCUCUACUUCAUGAGGUUGGCUGGAGCUCAAUCCACUUUUUCCCAUAUCCGGACUUCAGGAGCUCUUGUCUGACCACAAGCCUUUCUCUUCAUGCUCCUAAGUAAGAGAAGAGUAUCAUCCUAGUGUUAACUGUAUCUGAAGUAAAUUUUGUAAUUCUGAUACUGGCAACAUUAUUUUAGUACUGUGUUAGCCCAGUAAAAUAAAUAAAAUCAUGUAGGAGAACAUGUAUAUCUUUCAUCACUAUUGUCUUAGUUUUAAUACAAGCAUUUAUGUUGGCUGAGGUUAAUCUAUAACACAAGUUAGAACAAGUAAAAAUUGAUUCAGUGAGCAGCUUUAUGAUGCAGUUUGUGUCUUAAAAAAAAUGUGUGUGAGAUACGAUAAGUGGUCACUGCUGAUACUGCAUUAAUGGCUCUGUUAAGUUAGCUGUGUCUGCUAGCUAGUGAAUCCUGGCACAUACCUUGUGCAUUACUGUAGGUGUCUGUACAAGACAUACAAAAACUGGUUUUGAUUGGAAUGUCUUACCAAUCAGGUGAUAGGCUAUGUACAGAAAUUAAAGGAAAUUGGAGUAGCAAUGAAGCUUUGUCAUAAUUGAAACAAAAUUUGAUUAGGAUAGUUUAGUAAAUGAAUAGCAGAAUCCUGGGGGUGUUGGUAACACUUCAAAACAUGCAAGAACUUUGGACAAACAAAACAAAACUGUUAAACAUGAUGUAAAUAAAUGUCAGUGUUGUAUGUGUUCCGAAGAAAUAGGACUCUCCUCACCAACAUAAGAAAAAUUACACUUCUGUGAAAGUGCUUUUUUAUAGAAACCUACCUGUAGUAGCUGUAAUUCUGCUGAUACAAUAAUGAUUGCCUGGUUUGAUUUUGUGUUUUGGGGGGAAUUCCCAAUUUGUCUGCGUAACUGAUUCUGGCUGAUUGCUUUCUUUGUAAAUCUUCUAUAUUUUAAUGUUGUUAAUGAAGAUGAUGUGUGGUUGUUGUUUUUUUUUUUUUUUCCUGUGGUAGGGUUCUUUUGUAUUUGUUUUUACUGUAAGUAUUAAAAUCUGGAAUUUUAAGCUGA
This is a long non-coding RNA of Melospiza melodia melodia, 1174 nucleotides long. RefSeq lists it as uncharacterized. The record is from RefSeq and is a predicted model, not a curated record. The transcript has 2 exons. Lineage: Eukaryota; Metazoa; Chordata; Aves; Passeriformes; Passerellidae.